CCACCACUACCUCCUCUCGCGGCUAAGGAAAGGAUCAGGCACCACCAGCGAAGGUGACAAGUCCUACAAAAUCCCCACCGGCGGCCUCUUCGGCCUCGUCGCCUGCCCGCACUACCUUUUCGAGAUCGCCGGUUUCUUCGGGUUCGCAAUGAUCUCGCAGACGGUGUACGCGCUCGCCAUGGCCUCUGGCACGGCCGCGUACCUCACCGGCCGGAGCUGCGCCACCAGGAGGUGGUACGCGUCCAAGUUUGAGGAGUACCCGGCCAGGAUCAAGGCUCUUGUGCCAUAUAUCUUGUAAUGUCAUAAUUAGAGCUUCGGGUAGUAGAUAGAGUGGAGUUCGAUCGAGUGUGGAUCGAUGUAUCUGGAUCGGACUCAAGUCUCUGCUAAUGGGGCGUUAGUUUCUGUUACAAUGAUUUACUUUGGUUAAAUAACCUAAAUGAGCAAACGAAACGAAAUCACCCUGCUUCCUUGUUUGAGAAGGCUCAAUGAUUUCUGACUGUUGUUUAGUAAUAUUCCGUAAUAAUAAUAGGGUUUUUUUAUUUCAGUGUCCUCGGUUCCUUAGUUGUACUUAGUUUUGCCCAAGGCUUAAAACGUUGCUCGCUUCUACACUUCGUUCUUUGGCAAAUGCUCGCAAAUGUUCUCACGGCGGACCUAUUAACGUUCAAGGCCUUUGACCGUUACCUCCUGACGGGUGGAGCCAGGUUAAAUCCUGUCGAGUGGGGCCAACCUAGCUACUGACAUGGGGGCUGAAGCAACAGGAAAAUGAUCCCUUUGACUGUAGAAGAAAUGAUUAAUUUACAAGUGGGUCCACCGUCGGAAGGAAAAAUCAGGCGGCUUCUGGCCACUGCCUCGCCGACGCUUUGCCGUCGCCGGAGUUGCUCUCCUGCGCGACACAGGCCAUGUAGGGGGUGGGGUGUCUAGCAGGCGCAAGGCCGCUUCACCCUGAGGUGGCAUUGGAGCUUCUCAUUGCUGAAAUCUUACUGGCCGCGGGCUCGUGCGGUCUGCGGUGGCAGAGGGCUCCACUAGGAAGCGGGGCGAUACAGAGCACGGGAGAGGCAGGAAAGAGGGGCAAAAGAAUAAGUAUGUCAUCACGAAUCUGACGGAGGCAUUGGAAGGGGUGGAGGAGCACUGCGCGAGAACCUCGACGCCGGCGGGUGGCAGGCAGAGAGGAACAGCGACGCGGGGAUGACUCAGACCACGUGAGGCUCGAUGAGAAUCAUCGGAAGGUUCAGAGGAUCAGGUGGAGCUGAGAGAUGCGGCGGUCGAGUCCGGAAGUCACCGGAGAAGGAGAUCUGCUCGGCGGAAGCAACUGGUAGGAGCUGAGGAAGAAGAUGGUGACGCAACGAUUGGAGGCACCUCGAGUUGAUUACUUCUGCAGGAAGGAUUCUCGAGCCGAUGCGGGUCUCUUGGGAAAGGUGGCGAGGCUCAUGGAGGACGCUGGCCAUGACGGCGCAAAGCAGCGGCGCGCGAGCGUGCUCUGGACGGAGCGAACGCCAUUCGCGUUCCGGCCAGGAUAGAGCACGAGAGGAUGCGCGGCUUGCGGAUACAGCUUCAGCAUGUCUACGAGGUCAUGGCGGCAAGGUUUAGCGGCCGAGUUGAGAACCAUGGACGACAGAAAGAGCGCCCAGGAAGAUGAGCUGCUUUUGUUCACCGGGGGGAGAAAGAGCCACUUUUUACCCUUUGAGCCCACUAAAAUGGACAAUUUUGUAGGACGUUUGGAAAUUGAACUUCCUCCAAAUUGAUCUCUGAUAGCACAGAUGCAAUCCGAAUGGAAAGUUAUGCGAGAUGACGAAAUUUUAAAUUGUUUUGACAAAGUUGACUUCUGUUGACAGGCCCACUAUUUGGCCCGUUUAAUGUAAAUUUUGGAAUUCAAUCACAAAACUUUCUCCAAAUGAACUCAAAUGUUGCACAGUAGUCACAUAUGCCUAUUAAUGUCAUUAUCUCAAAGCUUGUUCAAAUCUGAAUUGUUUACCUAUUUUUUGAAUUUCAAAUUCAAACAAAUCUAGGGAACCGUUACCUCAGUCAGCACUUAGAUUCACAAUUUUCGUCCAAGAAGAUUUUCAUAGCGUUUAGUGUUCAUCCUUGAUGUUUUCUCCAAAUUUCAGAUUUUCUAGAGUUUAGGAACCAUAUUUCGUGCAUUCUUUGAAUUUCCAGCCUUUUCGGCUCAUAAUUAAAAAUUCAAUGAAACUUCGCACAAAUCGAUGUGGAACCAAUAUAGCAAAGUCAUGGUUUUACCAUGGCAUUCCAAAAUAACUUGGAAUGCACCGGGUCCAAACGCAUUUGAAUCCUUUUUGCACCUAAACUACUGUUUUUGCCUAUUUUGCCAAUUGGAAAAAAAAAUCAGCCCAAAAUCAAUUUGUGACCGGCGUUUACUUUACCAACGUUGUUUCAUUCAAAAUACUACAACCUUAUGCCGUUACCAUACCCAUAUAUAUAAGAGAAAAACGUAUAACAUUCCAUAUAUAUAUAUCAACAUAGAGAUACGUAGGAAUAAAAAUAGAGAUAUGUAGCAACAUAUACAUAUGCAGCUAGAGAUAAAUAACAGAUAACAUUAUGCAGCAUCGUCGCCGUCGUUGAGGCCGAAGAUGGCGUCGCGCUCCGCCUGGAUUUCCCGGACGUUCUUCCUCCCCCGCUCCUCGAGAAGGUUGCUCCUCUCCGAGUUUAGCGUCGCGAGCUCAAACUCGUACCGCUCCCUCGCCUCCGCCGCCUUCCGGUCGCACUCGUUGGCAAAAUAUUCCGCCACGGAAGCCACCUUCACGGCAGCCAUGUGCCGCCGGUCGGCUUCCCGCACACGCUGCUGGAGGGUGUGCCGGAGCUCGGUGUGGCGCUGAUUGAUCUCGCACUCGGCCUCCUCCUCGUCCUCGUCAUCGUCGUCGUCGUCAUUGAGGGGGAGUCGGCCACAGGACAAGCACGGGACGUCCGCAUCGAUGCGGGCACACUUUGGCGGCGGCGAGCGGCUGCAACGAGCGGCGGCGUCCAUGCUCAAUGCAUGGGACAAUGCUGCCGGCGCAUGUCGGCGGGUGCCGGACGGCGGAUUGGUGGCCAGCUCACGCCCAUGGCCGUCGCCGGCCGAGCUCUCGGUACCGUCUACUAGCUCCUUGUCCUUGGCCAUGGUGGAGAGAAGCGGUAGAGCUCGAGAGAGAGAGAGAGGAAGAAUGUAGAUGAGAUCAGAGGAGACGAGAGAAUUGGUUUACUGGGCACGCACAUAAGUAGUAGUGGGGAGAGGAAGCCGACGGGACCGACAGAGUAGUGGAGAGAGGAAACCGACGGGACCAUCUCACAGUUAUUGAGAGUGAGUGGGAAAUGUGCUGGGAUCGCUCUCACUGGGCCGCGCCGCCGCGCACACCUGCUAUUGACGCCAGUUCCCUCCAACUUCCCACGUACGCCAGUUUCCCAUGCAUUUCAAACAGCGCCGGCGACCGCAUUCAAAGCCUACCGAUCGCCGGAAAACCUCUCCCUUCCCGUGUCACCAUCGCUAUUUAACCUGACGCCAUGGCUCUGCUUCUUCUACACAGCUCUCCAUUCUUCUCCUUCUUCUACACAGCUCGCCACUCCACUUCUUCAACCCGCCGCCCAACGCCCCCACUGAGGACAAGCAAUGGCGUUCGAAGGCCUCACCUUCCACCCGCCACCCCUCACUGACGAGACGUUGUUCCCACCUGGCGUGCGUGUGGAGCGGACGCUCCAGGUGUGGGCGAUGUCGCGCAGCCGGAGCUCGAUGGCGCUGGCCAGGAACUUCCUCAACACCGGCUUCAGUCACCUGGAGGCCGGUGGCCCUCCAAUUUACCGCCUGGAGAGGCUCCGCGAGCACGGCGUCAAAACCGCCCUCCUGGUGCACCUCACCAUCAGCCAUGACGCCGAUUACCUCCUUGGCCGCGUGUACUGGUGUGGAUGCCAGUUCAUCGCAUUCCCGUUGUACAACGUGUACACCAACACUACGACCACGUUCUCCCACGCCGACGAGAUGCACGGCCUCCCGUACAUGGAGGAGGCGGAGGCGCCUGUGGAGGUGGCUGUCAAGGGGCCUGCGCCGCCUGUGGAGGAAUCUGAAGACGAAGCCGAGGAGUGAGCGAUCGAGCGGCGUUUUUUUUUCAAAAUUAAUGUCGUUAAUGUAAGCCCUUGUUGGAAUAUAUGAACUAGGUUCUUUCUUCCAUGGCUGUGUUGUGCUGUGUCCGCGGCAUGAGCGCGCGACAGCGGCGCAUCCUAGCAUCGUAGCGUCGACCGAGAGCAUCCUAGCGGCGCAUCCUUGCGUCCAUGCCCCUGUCCCGGUCCUUGUCCUCGUGCUCGCGCCGAUCCCCACGCCGCAGCGGCCGUCGUCGCGGUGGCCAGAGUCAAGCUCGCUGAAGCCCGGCCCGUCGCACAGUCAGCGGCGCACAUUGGUCCCACCCAUCAGGCUUAUACCCGGUAACACUCAUCAGCAGCUAACGGCUUGACCGAGUUGACCGUGAGGAGGUGCUCCGUGAUGGUAAAAGCGAGCAUCUGCGCAAAGGAGGAGGGUAGAAGCGAGCAGUGUUCUAAGGCCUGGGCAAAACUGAGUAAAACUAAGAAACCGAUGGCACAAAAGUAAAAAACACAUAAUACUACUACUUUCUAAGAACCAAGCAUAACUUGGUGUUAGGUUCGUUGCAUAGGAAACAAAAAUUUCCUACGAGAAGUGCGGAAGAAAACCCAAGAAUAUAUAUACUAGAUGUAUGUAACGAGAGGGAUCAUGAACACCAUACCCUCGUAGACCGCUAAGCGUUACGAUCACGAGAUCGUUGUUGGUGUAGUGGAACUUUCAAUGAGAUCAAUCUCAGUGCCGAACGGACAGCACCUCCUUGGUAUCCACACGUUCAGCUUCACGUUGUCUCCUCCUUCCUCGAUCCAGCAAGCGAGAGGGAGAGGUAGACGAGAUCCCGGCAGCACGACGGCGUGGUGACUAUGGUGAAUAUUCUCACGGGCAGGGCUACGCCGUGCGCGUGAGAAGAGGAGGAGAGGAGGGCUCAGGGGAGAGAGAUCCAACUGAAAGCUUGGGGUUGUCUCUCUCCCUUGCCCCCCCUUCUAUUUAUAUAGGCGUAGAGGAGGCGUGGCCGGCCAGGACUAUCCCAUGGCCGCAUGGGCCCUGUGGGCUAGCCCCUCGGACUCUCAUGCGGCCAGGACUCUCCUCCUGGCCGCAUGGGCCCUGUGGGCUAGCCCCUCGGCCCAUUAAGGCCAGGGUGCUCCCUCACAGGCCCAUUUAGCCCAGGGAUAGGUGGGCCUCAAGGUGGAUCCCUCCGGAACCUUCUAGAAGCUUCCCGGUCAAAACCGGGAAAUAUUCCAAACUUUCCAGAACCCUGAAAACAACUUUCCAUAUAUAAAUCUUUAUCUCCGGAACAUUCCGGAGCUCCUCGUUGCGUCUAGGAUCCCAUCCAAGACUCCGAAUCAUAAUUCGAUAUCAUCAUCAUUUAUUUCAUCUAACCCAAGCAACAUGAAACGUUAAGUGUGUGACCCUACGGGUUCGAGAACAUGUGGACAUGAUCAAAUAUCAAUAACCAAUAGCGGGACCUGGAUGUCCAUAAUAGUUCCCACAUAUUCCACGAAGAUCUCAUCGGUUGAACCACUAUGUCGAGGAUUCAAUUAAUCCAGUAUCCAAUUCUCUUUGUCUCGCGAUAUAUUACUUGCCCGAGAUUUGAUCGUCGGUAUCACCAUACCUAGUUUAAUCUCGUUACCGGCAAGUUCUCUUUACUCGUUCCGUAAUAUAAUACCCCCGCAACUAAACACAUUAGUUGCAUGCUUGCAAGCUCAUUAGGAUGUUAUAUUACCGAGAGGGCCCAGAGAUAUCUCUCCGUCACAAGGAGUGACAAAUCCCAGUCUUGAUCCAUACAACCCAACAAGCACCUUCUGGGAUACCUGAAAAACACCUUUAUGAUCACCCAGUUACGAGAUGACGGUUGAUGCCCACAAAGUAUUCUUCCGGUAUUAGGGAGUGGCAUGAUCUCAUGGUCUAAAGAAAUAAUACUUGACAUAAUAAAACAUAAGCAACUUAAACUUAAGUGACACGAUCAAAAGCUAUGUUUAGGUUUGGGUCUGUCCAUCACAUCAUUCUCCUAAUGAUAUGAUCUCGUUAUUAAAUGACAACACAUGUCUAUGGUUAGGAAACCUUAACCAUCUUUAAUCAACGAUCUAAUCUAGUAGAGGCGUAUUAGGGACACGGUAUUUGUUUAUUUAUCCACACAUGUAUUUGAGUUUCCAAUCAAUACAAUUAUAGCAUGGGCAAUAAACAUUUAUCAAGAACAAUGAAAUAUGAUAAUAACAAAUUUAUUAUUCCCUCUAGGGCAUAUUUCCAACACUUGGGUGGUGAGCCAAUCAUGUGUGCUAUCAGAGUACGAUAAAAAUAUAUAUCUAUGUAUCAUUGGAUUGCAAUGGUACUAGUUUUCCGGUUGGGUUUGAUGGUGGAAACAAGAAUGCGUCCCAUGUCAAGGUUUUGAUAUUCAUGCUAUUAUUUCUCUUUGAGGUGAUUCUAGCAUGCUAAAAUUAAUUUUUCGAUGGUUUUUUUAGUAGUGUUGCGCUCCAAAUGUGCCCCAUGGCAAGCUUUGAUUUUUGUUCUAUUUUUCUCUUUGAGGUCAUUCUAGUAUGCUAACAUUAAUUUUUGGAUGGCUUUCUCAGCAGAGGUGUGCCCGAUCUUUUUAGAACUGUUGCAUAUAUUCUUCAUGACUUUCUAGUUCGACGGCUGGCGGGACGAGCCUAUUGAGGCGAGAAGAUGUACAAACAUACACGAAGUCACGAACGAUUCAUUUCGGUAACAAAACAAGUCCGAAUAGAAACAUACUAACAUAAAUCUAACAGCAUGAGGAUGUGCAAAUAAGUGGUAGAUGACGACAUACACUGGUUACUUCAGGCAACUAAACCCGAGCAUCGUCACAAAAAAACCAACCAAGACUCUGCAAAUAAUCCAAGUCAUAAACUGUGGUGACUACAGGCUCAAGUAGUAUACUAACUGAAGAGUUAAGCGAUGUAACUCUCUAUCCCUCUGCUAUCCACCAUCUCAGCUAACAACACAGUAAACUCUUGUCAAAUGCUCUGAACUUCUGCUUAAACCGGCUAACAUCAUCUCCAAAUUAAUCACUGGAGGAACAAGUAAUAAUUAGCAAUAUAUACAAUGAGGUGAAGAAAUAUUACAAAUAUGAUAACUAUAGGCAACAAAAUUGACAACCUUAGGAGUCCUUGAAAGCAAAUCAAUUCUAAAACUUGUUAGCCUGAUCGGAGUCCUUAAAGUCGGUGAGAUCUGCAAAAUGAUUAGAAUAAAAGAGAAUUAGUGACAUUCAGAAACACUAAAGUUAUAUCCAAAGAACAAAUAGGGGAGAUGGGUGAAUCAGCAGAUAUAUUACAUGACAUGAUAGAGUUAAAAAGCAAGGGGGUGUCUAUUUUGCAUUUAGCUGAAUUUCAAUUAGGUUUCAGUCACAUUUUUUAGCCAACCAACAUUGCCUACACCCAACCAGCAUCACAAAAACAGAAAAACCUGCGACGAGGAAGAAAAACAAGUCUCUCCGCCCCCUCCCCGACCAAGCCCACUAACCCAAAAUCAAAGAUUAGUAUCUACAGCCCGAAUCAAAGAUUAGUAUCUACAGGCAAAUUAUAGAAUCAAGACCCUGCUAUCGAACCUAAUAACUGCAACUGAAUCAAGGCGUAAUUUUGACUACACAUUGCAAUAAGCAACAAAACUGUAGGAUGAGUUAAGAAAAACAAUCUGAUAGACCUGAGAUAAAUAUACCACUGUAGGAUGAGUUAAGAAUAACAGUCUAGCUAAUAGACCUGCAACAAAUGUACCAUUGAAAAAACUGAAGAAUAACUGAAGGCUAGUUACUGUUGUUUAACUAGACUAACCGAACACUAUAAGGCUGGUCAUAGUGGAGAAUAACUUAGAGUAGUAACAUGAUUAUGUUAUUAGUCUAAAUUACUACCUUCAUAGUGCAUGUAGUAACUUACAUGUGAUGUCAUAUAUUGUGUUAUUUAUUAGGUUGCAGACUCAUCUUAUCUUGAUUUGCGUGAUGUUAUGAUAACAUAUCUAGUUAUCACAUCACUCUCUUUCUUCAUUUAAUACCAUGUCACAUCACAAAAUUGCCUAGUUGGCACUUAUGUUACUACCCAAGUUACUCCCACUAUGAGUAGCCUAACUGAUGUAUGAGUUCAGAUGAAACACACUUGUAAUACCUCAAAAUUUAUAAAGGUUAUUUUUUGACAUGGGCAGACAUAGUUGACCAAAAUGUAACUUUUUGAAACGUAACCCAUAUGGAAAAUUGGAGGCAAUGGUUGGAUUUGUCUCGCCGAAUCGAUCGAAAAUGACUGUAGGUUUGUGAACUUCAGAGCCUGGAUUAAUAGGUCGAGGCCUCUUUUAAUUUCAGCCUUUUAGAUGUAUUUCAGAUUUCUCAAAAAAAAAAGAUGUAUUUCGGAUAAAACAAAAUAAAAUAAAAAUAGCACCAUAACAGACUCGAGGAAACCUGGGGAAAUAAAAUUCCCUUCUCUAUCUUUCCCCAAGCCACGCCGGAUCUUUUCUUUUGCCCAACCACCUGGAGCGCCUAGGGUUCCUGGCUGCCGCCGCCUGCCAGCCGCACGCCGUCGCUGCGGUCCCUGCUGCCUGCACACUGCCCGCCGGAGACCUUCCCUCCUCCCUCAGCUUCCCGCUGUUCUGUUCGUCAGGCACACACACGUUGCAGCUGCGUUCUGGGCUGUAGUUUCUUUCGAAUCUUGUUGUUCUGGUAAUCCUGGUUAGAUCAAACAAAGCUGGUAGUCUCUUUCAGCGUUAUUGGUGAAUCUGAUCCAAACACAAGGUAGUUCUCUGUACAAAGGAAAGAAUCAGCGAGUAAUUGUUUUGAUCUGUCGUGGGCUACUUUCAUGGUUCAUGGUUUCAAUCUGUAGAACUCUGAUUCAGCAGCAACUCUGAGUUAAAACUGGGUUGAAACGGCUGGGAAUUUGGAGAUUCCACUUAAAGAAAAGUUGUAGAGUUUCUCAAUAGCUUUCCAACGCUAUUUUUUUUUUCUCAAUUCCAGUAAGUAACGAGAAAGUUAUAAGCAAAACAGUGCUACUGUACUAGGGUCAUUAGUUGGUGCAGAUUUCCCUUUUCCCAUGAAUUCGUCCGGUUUGAGGCAGAACUAAAUUUUGGUCGCAACAUGAAAAUUGUAGAUGAAUCCCUGCUGAUCAUCGUAAUGUGCUUGGUUGCAUGAUUUGGUGAAGGGAGUCAAGAUUUAUAACCUAAACACAGAACUGCUCAGAACAUGUUUGAGAGGGUAAAAUGAACAGAUGUUGUUAGGAUUUCGGUUUCUUGUUGAGGGCAUUAGUAUUACUUGUGUGUCUACCUUUUGAUUAUCCUUGCACUAGUCCUAAGAGAUACUUGUACAGGUUUUGGAUGUUUGAGAGCCAAGGCAAAUGUGUGGAUUGUCCACGAUAUCUAUGGCAAGUACAUGGCGAGCCCCUCUUUACAUGGUUGCCCAUUGUAUGUCAAACUUCUACUCCUUUAUUUGAUUUGAGGCAAAUGAACAGUGAUUCCUUUCUUAUGUGUGGUUGCUUGUGUUCCAUGAUGGUUCCUUCCCAAUGCGUUGUGGUUUGUGUUAUUUCAGAACGGAUGGUUGUUCUUGUGUUCCUUGUUUUUCAGAGUUUGUUCACUGUCCACGCGUAUCGAUUCAUUCAUUUCAAAAGAAGGAUUGCAGUUGGUUAGUCCCCACCACAGUUCAGGAUGGUCAGUACACGCCACCCCUGUUGUCACAUGAUGAUAGUCCCCGUCACAUGUGGUUAAGUCCAGAUUGUUCAUUCAGAUCAUUCAUUGCAUUCAUGUUCGAUCCAUUUUUCAGUGAAGUGUUCUUUUCUAGUAAGAUGUGAUGAUGAGUAAUAUUCAAUGUUUUUUUCGGAUUCCGUAUUGUACUUGCUGAGUUUUAUACUCAUUCUUGCAUUCUCGUUGUUUUAUUUGGUUUUUCAGGUACAUGCGAGUAAUAGCAUCCUUGGGCGGGAGUAACACAACUUCACAUGAUACAUCACAACACAUCGCAUAUAAUUAGUGGUCGCAGUAUCAUAAUUGUUGGUUAGUAUCAUAAUAUGUAUAGAGAACUGGUGGGUAAUUAUGUAGUGUGAGUGUUUGACCACGAGUUUUAUGUCUAUUGUUGUAGUUGAUAGAGAAUUAUGGAUUUUGAGCAUCACUAAUUGAGUUAAAAAUGAUGAUAUUCAAGUAAUAUAAUCAAUUGCCUGUCAUGGAUGUCCUUGUAAACAAAGGCAACUGUGCUGAAAUUCUAAUUUUAUGUCCUUGGAGUUAAUCUUACUUGCGUAGUGUGGUAAUAUUCUGGGUAGGGUCGAUAUCUGGGGUGUUACAACAUUGAUGCAAUAAUAGCAGUAAAAGUGAUGUAGUAACUAUAAGAUACAAACCGAACCAUAGAAUGAGACUAAGAAUAAGACUAGAAUUAAUUAGAACUUAAUAAAAUAUCGAAACUUAUGAAAAAAUACUAAAACAAUGAAGACUGAAACGAAAUAUAGAGAUAUUGUGACUAGACACACAGACUGAAGACUAAACCGUAGACUCAGUGACACAGACCGAAAACUAUGAUUCUGUCUAAUUUAUAUAUAUAAUUUCUGAAGAUUGAAUACUGAAAAAUUAAUUGUUACAUAAAUUAGGCUGUCUUCUUCUGCCGCGAGCGCCGAAAAGGAGACCCGGCGCGUCACAAGUACCAUGAUGUUGACUAGAUCCUCUGAGCGCAAGGAAUGGAGCUGACAUUGACUACAACGAGGUCGGCCAUCUAGCUCCUCUCCGGCCAAUUUCUGAUGAGUUUCUUCUCCACUCGGUGAGCUUCGGAAUGUUCUUGCAUGGCUUGUGCUCACACUCUUUUCCUCUCUCUGUAGCACUAGGAUGACGUGGAUGUGACAUGGACCGACCCAAAAUUUGCAGGUAGUUGUGCAACUUAUACUGCAAUAUCGACACAUACAAAAUCGUCCUGGAGAUACGAUUGAUCCUAAUGCAGAAAUCGACGAGAAAUUAAUGCCCCAUUGAUCCCGUGCGUUCCAAUUUGAUCAUAAUUUGAAAUCUGUAUAAAUAGUAGUUCAAAUCAUUUGAAAUUUGUUUAAUUCAUAUAAGUUGUUUCCUAACUCCAAAAUUGGCAAACCUUAUAUGCAUUUUGAUCACCAAGAUCUAAUGAACCUGUUCAUGGUAUUCUCAUUCAUGUUUGAACAACUUAAACCUGCUGUUAAUUGUAAUACAUCUUCUUUUAUGCAUAUGGAGUUGGAAUUCCAUUGCUUUAGGAAUUCCAAUCUAUUUAAUAUGAUUAUUGUAUCAACUCACUUGUUGUUAAUAUGCCAUGUAUCUUCUGUGCUUAUAUUUUUCCUUUUAUAUGGUGUAUUUGCUUAUUCCUCGUUAGCCUCCGUUUCCUACGUCGACAAACCCGGUUCCGACUCCUACUCGGACCCAUAUUCUCGGUGCCCAGCGACCGAGGAACCAGGCAAACAACCCUCCUUGACCAUGUUCAUUAAACCUAUUUGCCUCUCCAUUAAUCUUGCAUUAAGUUACAAUUUCAGUCUUGUCACGAUGCCUCUAGGAUUGCAUAGCUUACUAGGCAGCUCUACUUAAGAUACGACUUCUAACGCAGAAACAACUAUCCAUGUCCUUACGCAUUCAAUAAAAGUGAAUACAAUAGGCAAUCACUUUACAAAUAUUUUAAAGUGCGACCCCCUUCUGCUCCCCUCCUCGCGACCACGAGGGCACGCCGCACGCACGACCGCACAUCACGAGGUCCCGAUAGCCCGCCGCCGCCUCCUUCUGUCUUCCUCGCGACCUCGCCUCUUCCCCCACCCCUCCGCCGCUAAACAAGAAUAUACCAAAUUUUGUAUACCAUAAGUAGCAUUAUUUAAUAAAUUAUUGGUGUUACAUAUAGCUCAUACAACUUGAAUGGUAUGUUAUUCCGAUUAAUUUUACAAAUAUCGAUUUAGUCUGCAUUUGUAUGCAAUACGUUUCAUGAUAUAUUGUUUAUAUAAUUAUAUUUUUAAUUCCAUAGACAUCUUUUCAGACUUACGGGCAUAAAAAUAGCAAAUAAAAUAUGAUAUUCCAAACCAUUGUGUAUAACUCAUAUUUAUCCUUUUUUGCUGUAUUUUAUUUUGUACAUCUCAUAAUAUAUUGUCUAGAUAGUUAGAUUUUUCUAAUUCUAGAGACAUCUUCAUACUUCCUGAACUAUAAAGAUUAAGUAAAUAUUUAUCAGAUACUUUAAACAUAAGGACACGAAGCAACCAUGUUUUGUCCACAUAAACUAAAAAUAUACACUCCUUUGAUCUUGAUCUGAGGUUUAAUAAGUGAUUUAAAAGGAACACAUACAUGCAUGCACCCUGAGUUUACAUGGAUAAGAACAUCUCUAGCAGUAACCGAACACAGCCGGCCCGAACUAGCCAAGUUCAGUUGAUCUGAAUUCCUGUUUUCAAUACAGAAAGCUGCGGGGCAGAACAGAAACCAAACUAAAUCCGAACAUUUUGAAAACUAAGAUGCGCGCGUGAUUCUCGUCAUAUUUAGCAACAAACUGAUUCCAUUCGAACAUUUAAAUUUCAUACAAUAGAUCCCACAGGUUCAUACAAUAGAUCUAAUAACUAAACCGAAGUUCUAACAUUAAAUACAAUAGAUCUGCCGAGGGGAGGGGGUUCGUUGCCGGAGCCGGCCUACCUUUCCGUCUUAGAGUGGCAGACGGCCUGGCACACGUCGAUGGUGAACCAACACGGAUAAGACGUGCGACCAACACGAACCACACGUACCAACCCAAAAGGAGAUGUGCGAAACACCCAGGAUUCGAUCCAAAUCGAGAGCACUCACAUAAUAGCCGUACGUUCGGGAACUAACGAGAGAGAUCGUCAUGUGGUCGCUGCUGCUGCUUCUGGCGGCGGCUGUGCUGUACCCGGCGCCGGCGUGGCUGAUGGCGAUGUCGGCGCUCUCCUUCGCGUGGGUGGCGUCCUUGGGCGUCUCCGAGCUCCGCGGCCAGCACAUGCCAUACUCCAAGUUCUGGCACGCCAUCGUCGUCUCCGGCUCCGGCCAGAAGAAGCGGGCCGAGCGCCUGCUGCCGAGCCGCGCCGCGAUGCUGAUGGCCUAUACGCCGGCGCUGGUCGCCGCGGCGGCGGCCUUCGCGGUGCCGGGCGCCGUGGAAGGCCUCCGCGCGCAGCUCCUCGCCGGCGCGCUCGCCGUCCACUUCCUCAAACGGGUGCUCGAGGUAAUUAACCAACCACUGAGACCGACUGAUCUUGUGAGACGUGCAACUACUUGCUUUUCCCCUUUUUAGGUACUGAGUGCCUGUUCUGUCGAACAAGUUCAGACCAGAAACAGAAGUAGGAUUUUGUUUUGUUUUAACUUGAAAAAAAUGAAGGGAAAGGUUUGACCCUUUGUCUAAAAUGGAAAGCAGAGCAGCCGGUACUGUUUCUACCGUUCAAAUCAGAGUCUGGGAUUUUUUGUAGAAGUGUAGCAAGUUCAAAAACUGAUGAAAAUUCUUUAUCCUAUGACUGCACUAGGAGUACAUGACUGAGAAUUUUUUUUCCGUUGACUAGUGGUUUUAUUCCCAGCUGCCACCCUCCAUGCAAUUGGCACACCAUGGUUCUUCAACGAGUGAUCUUCUUUUAAUUAAGGAGGAAACACCCUGACCUAUAUAUAUGCAUUUCGUGAAAAAUUUAGACGACAAAAUUAGAACAAGAGGACAUGAAUCCAAAAAAAUUGAACCGCAUAUAGAACACAGAAUUCCACAAUAAUUAACUGUAUAUCCAAUUCUAACAGUCUCAUGAAAAAAGGUAAUCGUUCCAUUACAUAAUUAUUAUUAAUUCAGCCAUUUUUGCUCACCUAGGCUAUACUACUUGCUUUCCUCUUUUUAGGUACUGUUCAUCCACCGGUACAGCGGAAGCAUGCCACUCAACACGGCGCUGCUGAUCUCCUCCAGCUACGUGCUCAUCACCGUCGGCAUGAUCUACUCCCUGCACCUCGCCGCCCGCCUCCCGGAUCCCCCCGUCAACCUGCUCUACCCCGGCAUGCUCGUCUUCGCCAUCGGCAUCGCCGGCAACUUCUACCACCACUACCUCCUCUCAAAGCUAAGGAAGGGCAACAAUGAUGACAAGGAGUACAAGAUCCCCAAGGGCG
RNAcentral lists this long non-coding RNA (14086 nucleotides) under Brachypodium distachyon (stiff brome). Its description in RNAcentral is "long non-coding RNA (BDIS_LNC001128)". The record is from RNAcentral. Lineage: Eukaryota; Viridiplantae; Streptophyta; Magnoliopsida; Poales; Poaceae.